CGGUACAAGAUGAGUAUGCGUCCCAUUAGUUUGUUGGUAAGGUAACGGCUUACCAAGAUACGAUAGGUAGGGGCCCUGAGAGGGGGAUCCCCCACACUGUACUGAGACACGGACCAGACUCCUACGGGAGGCAGCAGUGAGGAAUAUUGGACAAUGGGCGAGAGCCUGAUCCAGCCAUGCCGCGUGCAGGAAGACGGCCCUAUGGGUUGUAAACUGCUUUUAUACAGGAAGAAACACUCCCUCGUGAGGGAGCUUGACGGUACUGUAAGAAUAAGGACCGGCUAACUCCGUGCCAGCAGCCGCGGUAAUACGGAGGGUCCGAGCGUUAUCCGGAAUCAUUGGGUUUAAAGGGUCCGUAGGCGGGCAGCUCAGUCAGUGGUGAAAGUUUGCAGCUCAACUGUAAAAUUGCCAUUGAUACUGGUUGUCUUGAAUUAAUGUGAAGUGGUUAGAAUAAGUAGUGUAGCGGUGAAAUGCAUAGAUAUUACUUAGAAUACCAAUUGCGAAGGCAGAUCACUAACAUUAUAUUGACGCUGAUGGACGAAAGCGUGGGGAGCGAACAGGAUUAGAUACCCUGGUAGUCCACGCCGUAAACGAUGGAUACUAGCUGUUCGGUCUUCGGACUGAGUGGCUAAGCGAAAGUGAUAAGUAUCCCACCUGGGGGAGUACGUUCGCAAGAAUGAAACUCAAAGGAAUUGACGGGGGGCCCCGCACAAGCGGUGGAGCAUGUGGUUUUAAUUUCGAUGAUACGCGAGGAACCUUACCAGGGCUUAAAUGUAGAUUGA
Molecule: ribosomal RNA, 782 nt
Filed under: uncultured bacterium
Lineage: Bacteria
Description: bacterial SSU rRNA
Rfam family: Bacterial small subunit ribosomal RNA
Source: RNAcentral